RNAcentral lists this ribosomal RNA (252 nucleotides) under uncultured bacterium. RNAcentral describes it as "partial 16S ribosomal RNA". It matches the Rfam family "Bacterial small subunit ribosomal RNA", at positions 100 to 354 of the family's 1533-position model. The record is from RNAcentral.
CGGGGUGAGUAACGCGUGAGCAAUCUGCCCAUAUCAGGGGAAUAACAGUUAGAAAUGACUGCUAAUACCGCAUAGGACCACGGGGAGGCAUCUCUCUGAGGUGAAAGAUUUAUCGGAUAUGGAUGAGCUCGCGUCCCAUUAGGUAGUUGGUGAGGUAACGGCCCACCAAGCCGACGAUGGGUAGCCGGCCUUAGAGGGUGAUCGGCCACAUUGGAACUGAGACACGGUCCAAACUCCUACGGAAGGCAGCAG